Molecule: long non-coding RNA, 1621 nt
Organism: Aethalodelphis obliquidens (Pacific white-sided dolphin)
Lineage: Eukaryota; Metazoa; Chordata; Mammalia; Artiodactyla; Delphinidae
Exons: 2
Source: RefSeq, a predicted model, not a curated record
GGAUGGAGCCCCUCCUCUGGUCCCGUGGCUGAGGCACCUUCCUCGGCACCUGCCUGUUUUAUAACCCACUCCAAAGCGUCUUGGGCAAAUUUUGGGGGUGGGGGGGAGUGAGGUGGGCACAAGAUGCUUCCUGAAAGGUGGUUGAUCUCAGUGCAGCUGCAGCAGGCCUGGGCUCGGAGGGGCUCCCUCUUGUCCUCCCAGCAAACCAGCUUGGGUCAGCUGCUCCAAGCAGCUCCCCUGUGUUUCUGUCCUGGGAGAAGAGGGACAGCUGGGACCACCACCACCACCCCCCUCCACCGUGUCCAGAAGAGGACCUGGGCUCCGUAAAGGGUCGAGGGCCCCAGGCCCACCUGCCCCCAGCCCACAGGUGCCGUAAACAGAGGACCCAGUCCUUGCCCUCUACGCAGCUGUUCUAUGUGUGAGGUGGGAGGACUCCCAGUAACCUGGAAGCUCAGGCCUCCUCUUCUCGGGAGUUCCCUGGCUGCUGGUACCAGGGUCCCGGGAACGUGUCUGGGCUGGAGGGGGAAGCUGAGUGUCCUCAGGCCUCGGAACCUUCGCAGUGGCCUAGCCCAGUCCCUUCAAGGGCCGUCUGAGCACUGGAACAGGAGCUGAGGGGCACAAAGCAUCAGCUGUCACUCGGCCUUGGGAUACUCCUGCCCUGCCCUGUUCAUCAGUUUGUCUGUCCGUCCUUCCCUGCAAAGACAUAUUUAUGGAGAAAACAGUCCCAUGCCUGCGAUGCCAGAGCUCUGUGAAAGGCUGGGAGAAUGAGGUGGUUUGGUUUUUUGUUUAAAGAAAAAUGAGCAAGGGGACCGUGGAGACAGGUUGGGGGUUGGAGUAGGGGGCGGGAUAUGUUGUCUCUCGUCCCUCCAGGUGCCGGAGAGCUUCUCCGCUCAGUGCACAUUUGCCCUUCCAAUGAUUUCUCAGAUGUGAUUCUUUCUAGAGUUGGUCCUGGAUGCCCACGUGUAGUUCACAGAAGAGGCUGCGCCUGGGGGCACCUGAUGGGUGCAGCCCAUCCACCUGGAAACUUCAGAACUUACCAUGGGGCUGAGACCAUAGAAGGGGCAGAGGUGGGCAGGUCAUCCUGGGGCUGGCUGGGGCAGCGUGUGGAGCGGGUGUUCAGAGCCACAGAUCUUUGUCAGCUUAUGUACCUAGGCUGCCAGUUCAUCCCCAGGGCCCACAGUUUGCCUCAUCUGGGGAAAAAUCCACCUGCCAAUGAAGUCCAAGAUCGUUUCCCAGAAGGGGUAUUUUCACAGGAACAAGCGUUUAUCUCCAAAACCUCGGCUGGUCAGCCGUGCACGCUCCAGCAGAGCACCGAAGACCCAUCGGGGCUCAGCGCCAGGGCGCCUCCUGAAGACUGAAAAAUGCAUCCAGAACCGCAUGUCUUCCUGAAGCUUGAACCCACCCAUUUGCUUUCUGAUGUGUGGUCACUGUUGCUCAGUUUGUCCCCAAAGGGGAUGUCACCCUAGCUCCAUGAAAAACCGCCAAGACCUUGUUCGGCCUGGCUUCAUGGGCACGUAGCCUGUGCAGUCAUCCCAUGCUCUAUGCUCUGCUGUCUCUGUCUUAAAGUUCUUUUUUUUAAAUCAAUAUUUUUAUUUAUCAAUAUAUUUUUUAUUUUCAACAA